CUCUAAGGAGACUGCCGGUGACAAACCGGAGGAAGGUCGGGAUGACGUCAAGUCAUCAUGGCCCUUACGGCCUGGGCUACACACGUGCUACAAUGGUCGGUACAGAGGGUUGCCAAGCCGCGAGGUGGAGCUAAUCCCAGAAAACCGAUCGUAGUCCGGAUCGCAGUCUGCAACUCGACUGCGUGAAGUCGGAAUCGCUAGUAAUCGCGAAUCAGAAUGUCGCGGUGAAUACGUUCCCGGGCCUU
This 245-nucleotide ribosomal RNA is filed under the name uncultured Pseudomonas sp. RNAcentral's name for it is "partial 16S ribosomal RNA". It matches the Rfam family "Bacterial small subunit ribosomal RNA", at positions 1138 to 1382 of the family's 1533-position model. Lineage: Bacteria; Pseudomonadati; Pseudomonadota; Gammaproteobacteria; Pseudomonadales; Pseudomonadaceae. The record is from RNAcentral.